CGUGGCCGGGCAGGAAGAGCAGGGUCCCGCCUUCAGGUGUUUGGGACUCUGCUGAGGGUGUGGGUGCCCCGCGGUGGGGGCUGAACCUUCCUGGGGUGUGGAGAGACGAAAGGAGCCCAGAUCCAAGUUCCCUCGUUCCCGCUUUGGCAUAAGUUGCCCUGGCGGUCUCAUGAGAGAGAGAAAGAGCUGGGACCCUCCUCGCCCCAUGUAACAUCAGACAAGGGUGUUGACUCUGCAGCACAGAACCAGUAGUUUGUGGAGAAGAAUGGAGGUGUGGUGUUGAAUCUGCUAGACAGGCUACUGAAGCAAAAGUCAAGAGAUCCAGAUUCCAUCAUGGGGACACUUUAG
RNAcentral lists this long non-coding RNA (348 nucleotides) under Pan troglodytes (chimpanzee). Its description in RNAcentral is "lincRNA". The record is from RNAcentral. Lineage: Eukaryota; Metazoa; Chordata; Mammalia; Primates; Hominidae.